AAUAGUUUUGUAGAUUUCUAGAUUAAUUAAUAUAGAAUAUUGUGGAAAUUUUGACAAAAAUUCUAGAAAAUAACAAAAGGAAAAAUAUUUCAAAAAUGACAAAAGUGACUUAUUUAUAUUUCCAAAGGAAAAAUUCUAGCAAGUUUCUAGUAAAUACUUGUUUUUAAUAUUUACAAUGCUUGAUUUGCGACUUGUGAGAUUUGGAAUCCCUAAAUCAAUUGAAAUUAACAAUACAUUUCCCAAAUUAGAUUAUUUCUAAUAAUAAUGCCUUUAAAAAUUGUGUUUCCAAUGUCUCUCAUUGCGAUCGAUUUUAAUAUAUUUUUUUCAAUUUGCAGAAUUGCAACCCGAGUAACUCGCGAACUUCGAGCUCGAACCUGGACAAUUCUUUAACGAACCGAGCCCGAGUUUAGCUAAACCAGACUCGACGAGUUCAAGCCCAAAUCUGGACAAUUCCUUAAUGAACCAAACCUGAGCCCAGUUGUAUAUGCAAUUAAGAGCUCAGCUCGGUUCGUUUAAAACUCUAGUCGGUUAUAUAUGCUUAAUUGAAAUCAUAUUACUUAAUACUAAUAUGUCCAAUUAAUAUGUUAAAUUAUUU
RNAcentral lists this long non-coding RNA (595 nucleotides) under Zostera marina. RNAcentral describes it as "long non-coding RNA (ZMAR_LNC005214)". The record is from RNAcentral. Lineage: Eukaryota; Viridiplantae; Streptophyta; Magnoliopsida; Alismatales; Zosteraceae.